AUUGAACGCUGGCGGCAUACCUUACACAUGCAAGUCGAACGGCAGCACGGGUGCUUGCACCUGGUGGCGAGUGGCGAACGGGUGAGUAAUACAUCGGAACAUGUCCUGUAGUGGGGGAUAGCCCGGCGAAAGCCGGAUUAAUACCGCAUACGAUCUACGGAUGAAAGCGUGGGACCUUCGGGCCUCGCGCUAUAGGGUUGGCCGAUGGCUGAUUAGCUAGUUGGUGGGGUAAAGGCCUACCAAGGCGACGAUCAGUAGCUGGUCUGAGAGGACGACCAGCCACACUGGGACUGAGACACGGCCCAGACUCCUACGGGAGGCAGCAGUGGGGAAUUUUGGACAAUGGGCGAAAGCCUGAUCCAGCAAUGCCGCGUGUGUGAAGAAGGCCUUCGGGUUGUAAAGCACUUUUGUCCGGAAAGAAAGCCUUGGCCCUAAUACGGUCGGGGGAUGACGGUACCGGAAGAAUAAGCACCGGCUAACUACGUG
This 486-nucleotide ribosomal RNA is filed under the name uncultured bacterium. Its description in RNAcentral is "partial 16S ribosomal RNA". It matches the Rfam family "Bacterial small subunit ribosomal RNA", at positions 30 to 507 of the family's 1533-position model. The record is from RNAcentral.